Molecule: non-coding RNA, 21 nt
Organism: Caenorhabditis elegans
Lineage: Eukaryota; Metazoa; Nematoda; Chromadorea; Rhabditida; Rhabditidae
Source: Ensembl
UAAAAUUCUUCCAUUGUUCCA